CGGAGGGUGCAAGCGUUAUCCGGAUUCACUGGGUUUAAAGGGUGCGUAGGUGGCUUUGUAAGUCAGUGGUGAAAUGCCGGAGCUCAACUCCGGAACUGCCAUUGAUACUGCUUAGCUUGAAUCAAGUCGAGGUGGAUGGAAUAUUACAUGUAGCGGUGAAAUGCUUAGAUAUGUAAUAGAACACCGAUUGCGAAGGCAGUUCACUAGGCUUGUAUUGACACUGAGGCACGAAAGCGUGGGGAUCAAACAGGAUUAGAUACCCUGGUAGUCCACGCCCUAAACGAUGUAAACUCGACAUCAGCGAUAUACUGUUGGUGUCCAAGCGAAAGCGUUAAGUUUACCACCUGGGAAGUACGACCGCAAGGUUG
Molecule: ribosomal RNA, 368 nt
Filed under: uncultured organism
Description: bacterial SSU rRNA
Rfam family: Bacterial small subunit ribosomal RNA
Source: RNAcentral